RNAcentral lists this ribosomal RNA (254 nucleotides) under uncultured bacterium. RNAcentral's name for it is "partial 16S ribosomal RNA". It matches the Rfam family "Bacterial small subunit ribosomal RNA", at positions 526 to 779 of the family's 1533-position model. The record is from RNAcentral.
CGUAGGGUGCAAGCGUUGUUCGGAAUCAUUGGGCGUAAAGCGCGUGUAGGUGGUUAGGUAAGUCGGAUGUGAAAUCCCUGGGCUCAACCGAGGAAGUGCAUUCGAAACUACCUAGCUAGAGGACGGUAGAGGAAGGUGGAAUUCCUAGUGUAGAGGUGAAAUUCGUAGAUAUUAGGAGGAAUACCGGUGGCGAAGGCGGCCUUCUGGGCCGUUCCUGACACUGAGACGCGAAAGCGUGGGUAGCAAACAGGAUU